AGCCAAAAAUUCAUCUCAAUACUCAAGUUAUGGCUCCAACCAUUACUACAAACAAAACCGCUUAUUUACUGCCAUUGAUUUGGAAGCGCCGCCUUUAACUCCUUACAACUCCUUCAUAUGAACUCCAAAAGCAAUAAUUCUUUCAUGAAAGAUGUAGGCCUUGAAAUCGCCGUUCUAGUCGCACCUUCCGAUCUUCAAAAGCUAUUGUAAAACUCCUCGUACCCUCAAAAGAGUAACAGUAUGUCUUAAAUAAACACCUUAACUUCAAACGGCUAUAACUUUUUCAUCCUGACUCCAAAUCCUCUAAUUUUUGUACAGAAAUUGUACCCCAAACCCUAAAAUUUACAAUCCUAGCUUUUAAUCUUUGAAUGCUUUCGAAAGAGGAACCCUAAUCCCUAAUAAGGCCUCAGGCAGCCUCCUUGAAG
This 425-nucleotide long non-coding RNA is filed under the name Physcomitrium patens. RNAcentral describes it as "long non-coding RNA (PPAT_LNC005107)". The record is from RNAcentral. Lineage: Eukaryota; Viridiplantae; Streptophyta; Bryopsida; Funariales; Funariaceae.